GUUCUGACACUGAUUAGACCUAGCUAGACUGUUACCGUGGAUACAGUAUAGCAGGGUUCUGACACUGACACUGAUUACACCUAGACCUAGCUAGACUGUUACCGUGGAUACGGUAUAGCAGGGUUCUGACACUGAUUAGACCUAGCUAGACUGUUACCGUGGAUACGGAAUAGCAGGGUUCUGACACUGAUUACACCUAGACCUACCUAGACUGUUACCGUGGAUACGGAAUAGCAGGGUUCUGACACUGAUUACACCUAGACCUACCUAGACUGUUACCGUGGAUACAGUAUAGCAGGGUUCUGACACUGAUUACACCUAGACCUACCUAGACUGUUACCGUGGAUACGGUAUAGCAGGGUUCUGACACUGAUUACACCUAGACCUACCUAGACUGUUACCGUGGAUACGGUAUAGCAGGGGUUCUGACACUGAUUACACCUAGACCUACCUAGACUGUUACCGUGGAUACGGAAUAGCAGGGUACUGACACUGAUUACACCUAGACCUACCUAAACUGUUACCGUGGAUACGGUAUAGCAGGGUACUGACACUGAUUACACCUAGACCUACCUAAACUGUUACCGUGGAUACGGUAUAGCAGGGGUUCUGACACUGAUUACACCUAGACCUACCUAGACUGUUACCAUGGAUACAGUAUAGCAGGGUUCUGACACUGAUUACACCUAGACCUACCUAGACUGUUACCGUUACCCUGCUAUACUGUUACGGUAUAGCAGGGUUCCACCAACUUGCGGUUGACAUGUGAUCGUAAUACAAAUGUAACCAACGUUUGAAAUAAUGAUGUUUUAUAGUCAAUUAUUAUGUCUGUACAAGUAAUUUGUAAUUAUGUUCUGGCACCCUGACCGUCAGUUAAAAAAAAUAAUAAUCUGCCUGCGGUUGAAUCUAGUUGAUGCUCCCUGCUGUAGAUAAAACACACAAUCUGAACCUGCGGUUGAAUCUAGUUGAUGCUCCCUGCUGUAGAUAAAACACACGAUCUGAACCUGCGGUUGAAUCUAGUUGAUGCUCCCUGCUGUAGAUAAAACACACGAUCUGAACCUGCGGUUGAAUCUAGUUGAUGCUCCCUGCUGUAGAUAAAACACACGAUCUGAACCUGCGGUUGAAUCUAGUUGAUGCUCCCUGCUGUAGAUGAAACACACGAUCUGAACCUGCGGUUGAAUCUAGUUGAUGCUCUCUGCAGUAGAAUACGGACAGUGUCUUUAAGACAGAAUGAUUUCCAUACAUUUUUUUAAAGGAAAAAGUAUCUCAGUUUAAUUCAGUGUCAUCAUGUGGAUGCUCUCCCUCUUCCUCCACUUUCUCCUCUUCAUCAACAUCGUUCUCCUCUUGCUCUCUGUUGUGUUCUCUCAAAUACUACUACUCCCUCUUUUCUCUCAAUACUUUUACUACUGCUACUGCCCUCUGUUUUCUCUACCCUCCUCUCUGUCCAAUCCAGUCUUGUUUGUCCGUACUGAAACUUGACAUUAAUUUGAGCUCUGAAGGAUUUACUAACACAAUUGAACUUCGUCUCUUAGCAACUCUGUGUGUGCGUAAUACUGCGCACACGAGUACGUGUGUAUGAAUGCUUGUGCCAGGAGCCCUCGAGUUCAGUGUUGGUGGGUAAAAGUGCUCAGAACUUCUCCCUCUGUAUUCCUAUUACCACCAAUCGAUUCAACUCUUGGUUUUAGAUUUGUCUUUGAGGAAGUAAUGAGAAGUGUAUUGGUUUAGAUUUUAUUAAGUUGUGUAUAUUUGAGUUUAAAAAAAAAAAAAUGUAGAUUUCUUUUCUCUUUUUUUUUUCUCUCCAAUAGAUUGUUUUGUUUCUUAUUUAUGUCGUCGAAAUAGAGAAUAACAUUCUAUAUAUCCAAAGUGGUGGUUAUGCCUGUUGGCUAUAUCUCUGUAUUUAGUCCGACUGAAUAUGAGAGUAUGGCUGUAUCUCCCUAUGUAGGGCACACUUUAAAAAAACACGUUUUUUUUAACCAGAGCCCUACUCAUGGGACCUGGUCUAAAGUAGUGCACUAUAUAGGGAAUAGGGUUCUAUAGGGUCCUGGUCUAAAGUAGUGCACUAUAUAGGGAAUAGGGUUCUAUAGGGUCCUGGUCUAAAGUAGUGCACUAUAUAGGGAAUAGGGUGCCAUUUGUGAUUCAUGCUAAAAGACCAGUUUACUACAAUGAAGCAGCAGCUGCAUCAUCAGGUUCUGGGUGUUCCAACACCCUCAGUAGUCACGCCGACUCGCUAGCCAAUCAUCUUUGAGCAGCAUGUUGGUUGUAUGUGUGAUGUAAUGCGUUGAUGGAUCUCAUUUGUGUUUUUAGAUGUUAUAUAUAUAUUGUUGUUAGAUUUUGUUUUACCUCAUGUUAGCAGGCUGUGUUAUACUCAAGACUUUUCAGUGUCAAUCCAAAAUUUUAUCCACUUGUCAUUUUGUCCUAACCUGAGUGCCAGUCUGUUUGUGCUAUCAUACCAACUCCUCGUCACUCAUUGGCACUCGGCUUGAAAAGGACAUUUUAAUGGGGUUGGCAGGAGCACAAACAGGUCUGGGACCAGCCUCCAUUUUGUUGAGCUCCAGUGUAAGAAAGAGUAAAAAUCCGUCCGAGAGCAUCUUCCUUUACAUUCCUUUUCUUUUCUUUCUUAGAAGGUUCAAUUAUCAAGUCAAACAUUUUUAAUUGGUUGUAGUUAAUUGGUUAAUUGGCCUGCCCCACUACUUACUCAUUUUGAUUUGAUUUGAUUCUAUUAUCAGAAUAUCUGUUAACAUGAAGACAUUGACAAAUGAAAAUGACAUUUCUGUUACCCACAAAUCCUUGCUGUUGGUUUCUUUCUCUUUUGAGGUGUUGAAAUACAUGCAACUUGUCGGAGAGAAUGUGAUGUGUAUACAAAACUAAGUUCUACCGGAUAAAGAAACAACAUCGUGUUAAACUGUUUAAAACAACAACAAAAAAUGUUAGUGCAAAUAUAUAGUGGUAAGAAUAAUAAUGAAGCAUUGUUUUAUUUUGUAUCUUUUUUUUAAAUAAAUGAAUAUAUAUAUAUAUAUAUAGCUUAAAUGGUAUGUAACUAGGUGUGUGGUCAUUUGAAUAAAUGGUUGAGUUCUCCUGUAAAUACAGUGGAAGUAAAUAGUAGAUGACCAUAUAUCCUAUCUUCUGUCUGAAAGAGAAGACGGGUGUCAUUUAUCUGAUGUGCUGUUGUAAAAUAAAUGUUUCUGAUGCUUAAACAA
Long non-coding RNA from Oncorhynchus tshawytscha (Chinook salmon), 3197 nucleotides. NCBI's taxonomy places the organism in Eukaryota, Metazoa, Chordata, Actinopteri, Salmoniformes, Salmonidae. The record is from Ensembl.